ACUCCUGCGGGAGGCAGCAGUGGGGAAUUUUGGACAAUGGGCGAAAGCCUGAUCCAGCAAUGCCGCGUGUGUGAAGAAGGCCUUCGGGUUGUAAAGCACUUUUGUCCGGAAAGAAAUCCUUGGCUCUAAUACAGUCGGGGGAUGACGGUACCGGAAGAAUAAGCACCGGCUAACUACGUGCCAGCAGCCGCGGUAAUACGUAGGGUGCGAGCGUUAAUCGGAAUUACUGGGCGUAAAGCGUGCGCAGGCGGUUUGCUAAGACCGAUGUGAAAUCCCCGGGCUCAACCUGGGAACUGCAUUGGUGACUGGCAGGCUAGAGUAUGGCAGAGGGGGGUAGAAUUCCACGUGGAGCAGUGAAAUGCGUAGAGAUGUGGAGGAAUACCGAUGGCGAAGGCAGCCCCCUGGGCCAAUACUGACGCUCAUGCACGAAAGCGUGGGGAGCAAACAGGAUUAGAAACCCCGGUAGUCCC
This 470-nucleotide ribosomal RNA is filed under the name uncultured organism. RNAcentral describes it as "partial 16S ribosomal RNA". It matches the Rfam family "Bacterial small subunit ribosomal RNA", at positions 335 to 797 of the family's 1533-position model. The record is from RNAcentral.